RNAcentral lists this ribosomal RNA (253 nucleotides) under uncultured bacterium. RNAcentral's name for it is "partial 16S ribosomal RNA". It matches the Rfam family "Bacterial small subunit ribosomal RNA", at positions 524 to 776 of the family's 1533-position model. The record is from RNAcentral.
UACGGAGGGAGCUAGCGUUGUUCGGAAUCACUGGGCGUAAAGCGUGCGUAGGCGGUGACUCAAGUCAGAGGUGAAAGCCUGGAGCUCAACUCCAGAACUGCCUUUGAAACUAGGUCGCUAGAAUGUCGGAGAGGUGAGUGGAAUUCCGAGUGUAGAGGUGAAAUUCGUAGAUAUUCGGAAGAACACCAGUGGCGAAUGCGGCUCACUGGACGACUAUUGACGCUGAGGCACGAAAGCGUGGGGAGCAAACAGG